GGUGAAUGUAGCUCAGUUGGCAGAGCGUCGGAUUGUGGUUCCGAAUAUCGCGGGUUCGAGCCCCGUCUUUCACCC
RNAcentral lists this transfer RNA (75 nucleotides) under Paludibacteraceae bacterium. RNAcentral describes it as "tRNA-His". It matches the Rfam family "tRNA". Rfam says of the family: Transfer RNA (tRNA) molecules are approximately 80 nucleotides in length. The record is from RNAcentral. Lineage: Bacteria; Pseudomonadati; Bacteroidota; Bacteroidia; Bacteroidales; Paludibacteraceae.